AGCCUUGACUUCAACCGGUCCCUA
Molecule: non-coding RNA, 24 nt
Filed under: Arabidopsis thaliana (thale cress)
Lineage: Eukaryota; Viridiplantae; Streptophyta; Magnoliopsida; Brassicales; Brassicaceae
Source: RNAcentral